Molecule: microRNA, 23 nt
Filed under: Daphnia pulex (common water flea)
Lineage: Eukaryota; Metazoa; Arthropoda; Branchiopoda; Diplostraca; Daphniidae
Description: Dpu-Novel-8_3p* (star (passenger))
Source: RNAcentral
AUUCUCCAUUACUCCUUUGACGG